UCCGGCUGGUCUGUGGGGUUUCGGGUUCGGGGUUUCCUGGUGGGCGUCAGGGGCAGGCGACAGAGUGGCGGCCGCUACGGCCCUGGAACGGGGCCAUGGAGAAGCUGCGGCGAGUCCUGAGCGGCCAGGACGACGAGGAGCAGGGCCUGACUGCGCAGGAUUCACAGAUUAAUCUCUUGAGGUCCUGGAUGCCUCAUCCCUUAGUUUCAACACCAGAUUGAAAUGGUUUGCCAUCUGCUUCGUAUGUGGCAUUUUCUUUUCUAUUCUUGGAACUGGAUUGCUGUGGCUUCCGGGAGGCAUAAAGCUUUUUGCAGUGUUUUAUACCCUCGGCAAUCUUGCUGCGUUAGCCAGUACAUGCUUUUUAAUGGGACCUGUGAAGCAACUGAAGAAAAUGUUUGAAGCAACAAGAUUGCUUGCAACAAUUGUUAUGCUCUUGUGUUUCGUAUUUACCCUGUGUGCUGCUCUUUGGUGGCAUAAGAAGGGACUGGCUGUGUUAUUCUGCAUAUUGCAGUUCUUGUCAAUGACCUGGUAUAGCCUGUCGUACAUCCCAUAUGCAAGGGAUGCAGUUAUUAAAUGCUGUUCUUCUCUCCUAAGUUGAAAAUCAGAAACUUGUGGAAAAGAGCACUUGAAUGUUGGUACUCUAUGUUUGGUGAAGUUUG
RNAcentral lists this small RNA (659 nucleotides) under Pan troglodytes (chimpanzee). RNAcentral's name for it is "processed transcript". Lineage: Eukaryota; Metazoa; Chordata; Mammalia; Primates; Hominidae. The record is from RNAcentral.